This 269-nucleotide ribosomal RNA is filed under the name uncultured prokaryote. RNAcentral describes it as "partial 16S ribosomal RNA". It matches the Rfam family "Bacterial small subunit ribosomal RNA", at positions 524 to 792 of the family's 1533-position model. The record is from RNAcentral.
GACGAAGGUGGCGAGCGUUGUUCGGUGUCACUGGGCUUAAAGCGUGUGCAGGCGGAAAGGUAAGCGUCUUGUGAAAGCCCUCGGCUUAACCGAGGAAUUGCUCGACGAACUGCUUUUCUUGAGGCAGGCAGGGGUGCACGGAACUCUUGGUGGAGCGGUGAAAUGCGUAGAUAUCAAGAGGAACGCCAGUGGUGAAGACGGUGCACUGGGCCUGAUCUGACGCUGAGACACGAAAGCGUGGGGAGCGAACGGGAUUAGAUACCCGCGUA